Long non-coding RNA from Hyposmocoma kahamanoa, 1136 nucleotides. RefSeq lists it as uncharacterized. Lineage: Eukaryota; Metazoa; Arthropoda; Insecta; Lepidoptera; Cosmopterigidae. The record is from RefSeq and is a predicted model, not a curated record. The transcript is spliced from 4 exons.
AGCGCCGUGCGCCCGCGCCCCGCGCACGCUGAUGCACGUUGCACCGCGUUGCACCCGCCGCGCAGCCGCCUUCGCGCAUCGUCGUGACCCAGCACCAUGCUGGAUGCAACUCACUGGUUCUUUCCCUAUAUGCUAAAACAACACUGCUCGUGUCGAAUGAGUUUGCACAGCAUGGUGACAGUGAUGUUUGCAACUAUGCAAUUAACCCCCAACAAUCACUACUGCACGCUGAUGAACUAUUACAGCAUUGUUUACGUCUCGUUCGCCUGUGCCUGUGCCCGCGCUACGCGCAUACACAAAUCUGCUUCGAAAGCCAACAUCAUCUAAAGACUUUGCGGUGACGAAACACUCCAGUGUCAACUUUCUUCCUCACUCUUUGCUAAAAGGACCCGAUCUUCGUUAACUGAAAUGAUGUGUUUGGCGACCAAUAAUCUGUAUUACUCGAUGGCGAACAAUUAGCGGAGGAAAGGCGCAUUGCCGCGACCUGAGUCAGCAAUAUUCUGCAUGAUGUCAUGUAGAGCGCUAACGGGCGCGUCCCAGCGUCACAUCCCAUUCCUGCAUACCUCACCCAAUCUAGUGAUGACAAAUCCACUCAUACUGGCGAUACAGAGACAAUGUUUUAAAUUCUUGUGAUUCCAAUAUUGAGUGGUCCCAUUUGGUUCAAAAGUAAUAGUGUUAGUAUACUUCGUGAAACUAACUUUAAAUAACGUGAUAGAAAUCAAACGAUAUAAAUACUAAUGCACAAUCUGAGUAGGCAAGAUCUUGAAACCAAUGUUCCCCAUUACAAAAAUGUGUAUAUUUGCACAUUAUUCGCCCUGUAAUUUUAGUAUGCUAUUUCAUUUACAAAGAAAUAAACUCAGAAGUAACAAGAAUGAAGAUCAAGAACGAAGACACCAAGUGUUUCCGAUAGAAGUUACAAGAAAUCAAGUAAAUCAAGCAAAAGGAAUUACGAAACUGGUUUUCAUAAUGAUUUGACAGAUUGUUCCCUAUUCUGAGAUCAUUGUGAAAGCUGAUUUUGUUCCUAUAUCAACAGAAAAUCGCACCAUCAUGCUGCGUCAGCGCUUUCUGAGGAAUUCGUCAACUAAGGAAUGCCACUGACGUGAAUUGGUUCUGCGGAGAAAAGAAUUUUUGACUAA